GAUGAACGCUGGCGGCGUGCUUAACACAUGCAAGUCGAACGAUGAAGCCCAGCUUGCUGGGUGGAUUAGUGGCGAACGGGUGAGUAACACGUGAGUAACCUGCCCUUAACUCUGGGAUAAGCCUGGGAAACUGGGUCUAAUACCGGAUAGGAGCGCCUACCGCAUGGUGGGUGUUGGAAAGAUUUAUCGGUUUUGGAUGGACUCGCGGCCGAUCAGCUUGUUGGUGAGGUAAUGGCUCACCAAGGCGACGACGGGUAGCCGGCCUGAGAGGGUGACCGGCCACACUGGGACUGAGACACGGCCCAGACUCGUACGGGAGGCAGCAGUGGGGAAUAUUGCACAAUGGGCGAAAGCCUGAUGCAGCGACGCCGCGUGAGGGAUGACGGCCUUCGGGUUGUAAACCUCUUUCAGUAGGGAAGAAGCGAAAGUGACGGUACCUGCAGAAGAAGCACCGGCUAACUACGUG
RNAcentral lists this ribosomal RNA (466 nucleotides) under uncultured bacterium. Its description in RNAcentral is "partial 16S ribosomal RNA". It matches the Rfam family "Bacterial small subunit ribosomal RNA", at positions 28 to 507 of the family's 1533-position model. The record is from RNAcentral.